RNAcentral lists this ribosomal RNA (617 nucleotides) under uncultured bacterium. RNAcentral describes it as "bacterial SSU rRNA". The stretch from base 1 to 522 matches the Rfam family "Bacterial small subunit ribosomal RNA", at positions 338 to 873 of the family's 1533-position model. The record is from RNAcentral.
CCUACGGGAGGCAGCAGUGGGGAAUAUUGGGCAAUGGAGGAAACUCUGACCCAGCGACGCCGCGUGCGGGAUGAAGGCCUUCGGGUUGUAAACCGCUUUCAGCAGGGAAUAAGCGCAAGUGAAGGUACCUGCAGAAGAAGCACCGGCUAACUAUGUGCCAGCAGCCGCGGUAAUACAUAGGGUGCAAGCGUUGUCCGGAAUUAUUGGGCGUAAAGAGCUCGUAGGUGGUUUGUUACGUCGGUUGUGAAAUUCAGGGGCUCAACCCCUGACUUGCAGCCGAUACGGGCAAGCUAGAGUUUGGUAGGGGAGACUGGAAUUCCUGGUGUAGCGGUGGAAUGCGCAGAUAUCAGGAGGAACACCGAUGGCGAAGGCAGGUCUCUGGGCCAAUACUGACACUGAGGAGCGAAAGCGUGGGGAGCGAACAGGAUUAGAUACCCUGGUAGUCCACGCCGUAAACGGUGGGCGCUAGUUGUGCGAACCUUCCACGGUUUGUGCGACGCNGCUACGACAUAAGCGCCCGCCGUCGGGAGGUACGAGUCGCGAGAAGUUAAACGUAACGUAAAGUAAGUUAGUUAGUACGUUGUUAGAGNGCGACGACGACGACGACGGAGGAGGAG